GACGAACGCUGGCGGCGUGCUUAACACAUGCAAGUCGAACGGAAAGGCCUGCUUUCCCUUGUGGAUUGCGGGUACUCGAGUGGCGAACGGGUGAGUAACACGUGAGUGAUCUGCCCCCAACUUGGGUAUAAGCCUGGGAAACUGGGUCUAAUUCCCGAUAGGACUAAAGGGUGGUGCCUGUGGUGGAAAACGAUUUUCUAGUGGUUGGGGAUGAGCUCGCGGCCUAUCAGCUUGUUGGUGGGGUAAUGGCCUACCAAGGCGGCGACGGGUAGCCGGCCUGAGAGGGUGGACGGCCACAUUGGGACUGAGAUACGGCCCAGACUCCUACGGGAGGCAGCAGUGGGGAAUAUUGCACAAUGGGCGGAAGCCUGAUGCAGCGACGCCGCGUGGGGGAUGACGGCCUUCGGGUUGUAAACUCCUUUCGACCGCGAGGAAGCCACCUGGUUGGAAGGGUGGUGACGGUAGUGGUAGAAGAAGCACCGGCUAACUACGUG
Molecule: ribosomal RNA, 494 nt
Filed under: uncultured bacterium
Lineage: Bacteria
Description: partial 16S ribosomal RNA
Rfam family: Bacterial small subunit ribosomal RNA
Source: RNAcentral